RNAcentral lists this long non-coding RNA (736 nucleotides) under Dromaius novaehollandiae (emu). RNAcentral's name for it is "lncRNA (ENSDNVG00000015159.1)". The record is from RNAcentral. Lineage: Eukaryota; Metazoa; Chordata; Aves; Casuariiformes; Dromaiidae.
AAAGCUGAACAUAUUCCGAUAGUUGCACCAGUCCCUCCUUGUUCCCCUGCGUGCAGACAGCACGCUGUGCGUUCUUACUGGGACUGCACUUGCAAUGCCAUCACUCAGCCUCUCCUUCAGAGACCAGCUGGUGAAAAACAAAAUCGGCAAAACAUUGUAUCAAGCCCAAUACUACAGCAUAUAAAUCGCCUCUGUGCACUGCAUUUGAACAACAUGAAGUGCUUACAACUGUUGCUGUUUGAUAUUUUCUGCCAGUAAAAUGUUUAUCUGCACCUUGACCAAAAUAGCAUGAAGAAUGAGAAAGCUCUUCCUCUAAAGUUUGUAAUGCAUUUAAAUGUCUCUGCCUUUGCUGAGAUCAAGCAGACAUUCUAAACUGGGUAAACAAGAAAAAUAUGAAUUGUCAAUGAAUCAAGUUGGAGACAUUUCAAGCAAAUCUCUGAGAGAAUCAAUAUUAUGUCAAGGUUUAUUCCAUAUCUUCAUUAAUGAUCCAGAAAUACAGCGAGCAUCAGAGAAGACUGACAUAUAAAACAAAGGCAUUGAGAAGGUGUGAUUAACAUUUAAACACAAUAGUUGUUGCCAUAAGAAWUAUGUCAAGUUGCUGGAUGAUCCUCACCAGUUUUUCUGAUAGAGCUCUUCCUUAUGGAGCAAAAGAUGCUGGAGCACUUCAUUUCCUUGAGAAGAACUGCUGUGCCCGGAAACCCAAACAACGAGGCUGCGCCACAGAAACUGUCUCAUG